Molecule: ribosomal RNA, 1107 nt
Filed under: uncultured bacterium
Lineage: Bacteria
Description: bacterial SSU rRNA
Rfam family: Bacterial small subunit ribosomal RNA
Source: RNAcentral
AGAGUUUGAUCCUGGCUCAGAUUGAACGCUGGCGGCAGGCCUAACACAUGCAAGUCGAGCGGUAACAGGGAGUAGCUUGCUACUUCGCUGGCGAGCGGCGGACGGGUGAGUAAUGCUUGGGAACUUGCCUUUGGGAGGGGGAUAACCGCUGGAAACGGUGGCUAAUACCGCAUGAUGUCUACGGACCAAAGCGGGGGCUCUUCGGACCUCGCGCCCAAAGAUAGGCCCAAGUGAGAUUAGCUAGUUGGUGGGGUAAUGGCUCACCAAGGCGACGAUCUCUAGCUGUUCUGAGAGGAUGAUCAGCCACACUGGGACUGAGACACGGCCCAGACUCCUACGGGAGGCAGCAGUGGGGAAUAUUGGACAAUGGGGGGAACCCUGAUCCAGCCAUGCCGCGUGUGUGAAGAAGGCCCUAGGGUUGUAAAGCACUUUCAGUGGUGAGGAAGGCUUGUUAGCGAAUACCUAACAAGAUUGACGUUAGCCACAGAAGAAGCACCGGCUAACUCCGUGCCAGCAGCCGCGGUAAUACGGAGGGUGCGAGCGUUAAUCGGAAUUACUGGGCGUAAAGCGUACGUAGGCGGCUUAUUAAGCAAGAUGUGAAAGCCCCGGGCUCAACCUGGGAAUGGCAUUUUGAACUGGUAAGCUCGAGUUCUGAAGAGGGUGGUAGAAUUUCCUGUGUAGCGGUGAAAUGCGUAGAUAUAGGAAGGAAUACCGGUGGCGAAGGCGGCCACCUGGUCAGAGACUGACGCUGAGGUACGAAAGCGUGGGGAGCAAACAGGAUUAGAUACCCUGGUAGUCCACGCCGUAAACGAUGUCAACUAGUUGUUCGUGUCAUUAACGACGUGAGUAACGCAGCUAACGCACUAAGUUGACCGCCUGGGGAGUACGGCCGCAAGGUUAAAACUCAAAUGAAUUGACGGGGGCCCGCACAAGCGGUGGAGCAUGUGGUUUAAUUCGAUGCAACGCGAAGAACCUUACCAUCCCUUGACAUCCACAGAAGGUCUUAGAGAUAGGACUGUGCCUUCGGGAACUGUGAGACAGGUGCUGCAUGGCUGUCGUCAGCUCGUGUUGUGAGAUGUUGGUUAAGUCCCGCAACGAGCGCAACCC